CCGCAGCCCGAGUGGUGAUCGUUUUUAUUGGGCCUAAAGCGUCCGUAGCCGGUUUAGUAAAUCCUUGGGUAAAUCGAGCAGCUUAACUGUUCGAAUUCCGGGGAGACUGCUAAACUUGGGACUGGGAGAGGUCGGAGGUACUCCAGGGGUAGAGGUGAAAUUCUGUAAUCCCUGGGGGACCACCAGUGGCGAAGGCGUCCGACUUGAACGGGUCCGACGGUGAGGGACGAAGCCCUGGGGCACAAACCGGAUUAGAUACCCCCGUAGUCC
Molecule: ribosomal RNA, 270 nt
Filed under: uncultured archaeon
Lineage: Archaea
Description: partial 16S ribosomal RNA
Rfam family: Archaeal small subunit ribosomal RNA
Source: RNAcentral